GAUGAAGAACGUAGCGAAAUGCGAUAAGUAAUGUGAAUUGCAGAAUUCAGUGAAUCAUCGAAUCUUUGAACGCACAUUGCGACCGCCAGUAUUCUGGCGGGCAUGCCUGUCUGAGCGUCAUUUCAACCCUCAUGCCCCUAGGGCGUGGUGUUGGGGAUCGGCCAAAGCCCGCGAGGGACGGCCGGCCCCUAAAUCUAGUGGCGGACCCGUCGUGGCCUCCUCUGCGAAGUAGUGAUAUUCCGCAUCGGAGAGCGACGAGCCCCUGCCGUUAAACCCCCAACUUUCCAAGGUUGACCUCAGAUCAGGUAGGAAUACCCGCUGAACUUAAGCAUAUCAAUAAGCGGAGGA
Molecule: unclassified non-coding RNA, 348 nt
Filed under: soil metagenome
Description: partial contains 5.8S ribosomal RNA, internal transcribed spacer 2, and large subunit ribosomal RNA
Rfam family: 5.8S ribosomal RNA (bases 1-120)
Source: RNAcentral